This is a long non-coding RNA of Solea solea (common sole), 1237 nucleotides long. RefSeq lists it as uncharacterized. Lineage: Eukaryota; Metazoa; Chordata; Actinopteri; Pleuronectiformes; Soleidae. The transcript is spliced from 5 exons. The record is from RefSeq and is a predicted model, not a curated record.
UGGUGCCUCUGGCGGCCAUUUUAGAACGGCUUGAACAAAAACAAGAUAGAGCUUCUUUUGUUCCCGAGGCUGUUAAAGCUUAACUUUCUUGACUAACUAGAUUUAUUUUAUGAUUUUAUAUUUUAACCAUGAUUGUACAUGUAUGCUUCUAAUUGUUUUACUUAUUUAUUAUAUUACUUACGUGGUCGGGUGGGAAACAUUACUUCCUAAUGCCGCUGGAGGGCCCUCUAGGAGGGGGGGGAAACGUUACUUACUACUGCCACUAGAGGGCACUUUUGCACUAUGAUAAUCAAUCCCCUGAGGGCGCAAGGACUUUUGGGUAAUUAUUAAGAAAGACCCGGAUUUUCCCUCGAUGCACACGUGGAGUGUUUUCAGGUGUACAUUGCCAGCAGUUGAAGCUGUAGACGAUCUCCAGAUAUUUGGAAACAGCGGGACAAGGAUCCUCCUCCACAUGGGCAUACGCGAAGCAGAAAGUGAUCACAUCUGGCGGUGACCUGGCAGCCGUUUAGUCACCUGGCAGUUAGCGGUCACAUGCAGUUGACCACAUUGCUGGAGCCCUGGCCGAUGUCCCGUAUCUGACUGACGUGAGACGAGCAGACGGCGACUCCAGCUCCGGCGCGGCAGUGAGACACUGAGCCCACCAGCUCCCAUCUAAACAGCAAAUCACAAAUAUCACACCCACAUGGCGCCGCCUGCUGUUCAUUUCAGGGCCAAAAAACCAGCUGUUCUUAGUGAUGGAGUAACACUCGAUGCUGCGAAAUGGGUCACCAGAACCCCCGCGGCCACCAACACAGAACAAAACCCCUGAGAGAAGAAGAGGAAGUACACGUGGUUGGCACAAUUUCUGCAGGAAGCCUUGAACAAUGGGACCACCAGAGGUUCUGAAACCCAGCUGUAAGAAACUCCACACACACACACACACACACACACGUUUACAUUUGCACAGACAUUUGUAGUGUCCGCAGAGAAAGUCAACAGACAGCCGUCCAUUGACGUGAACAUUAAAUAAAACCUUACAGUGACUGAGUGGUGAAAGCACCGACCUGAGUGUAGACCAGUGAGAGAACUUGUGAUUACAGAGGCCGUGGACGACUGAUGACCCCUGCAGCACAGCAGACCUCACGCUCAACAUUUGGUUUAUUUUCUCAACAGAAAUGUUGAAACAGUUAAGGCACCCGCGUUCACUUUCAGGCCAACCAACCAACCAGCGGUCACUAUAAAUACACUGACUCACAUA